RNAcentral lists this long non-coding RNA (539 nucleotides) under Mytilus galloprovincialis (Mediterranean mussel). The record is from RNAcentral. Lineage: Eukaryota; Metazoa; Mollusca; Bivalvia; Mytilida; Mytilidae.
UGAAUAUGGAUCAGUGCCGAUAAACUCGAUGAGCGGAGAGAAAAUAAAAAAAUGGGAUAUAAACAAGAAAGAAGAUUUUAUUAUAAAUUUAGACAGAGAAAAGAUUUCUGAAUUACAAAGUUAUCUCGAAGAAACCAAAUCUUGUCCUACUGAUUCAAACAUUUUUAUAAACAAAGCUGUAGAAACUAUUACGAACAUAUUUGUGACUUCUGCGAAGAAAACGUUCGGAACCUCAAAAAACAAGUCAAAGAACGAAAAUACCCCUCAGAGUACAAGAUCGCAAGAUGAAAAACCAUGGUUUAACAUAGAUUGUAAAAUUGCUAGGAAAAAUGCGAGAAAAUACAGAAGAAAAUAUAAAUUUAACAAAUCCAUUGUAAACCAGGAAAAUAAAAAACGAAGUGAAAGACUAUACAAAAAUACCAUGAACAGAAACAUAAAAAAGUAUAGGAAAAAUGUGCGAAAUGAUAUGAAAAAUAUGAAAACCACGAACUCAAAAGAAUACUGGAAAAUUCUAAAUGGAGGCUCUAGAAAGACACAAC